GACUUGUACUGAGGAACUAGUUCCGAUACCGCGACCACCGGUGAUAAAAUAGUGGCGGCACAGGGGUGCGUUUUGCUCUUCGGAGCGGCUCGGUGGAGUGUGAGAUUGGCACCAGGAGGUGCGGCACAGUGGUGCAUUGGCUCAGUGGAGCGGCUCUGCGGAGAGUUGUAUUGGCACUUCAGUGUAACCAUGCCACUGGGUGAUGUGGCCGUAGUCAUGCGGUUGAGUUAUUUUGAGUCUCGGAUCGGGUUUACGGAUUAUCGUGUGGAUUUUUGGAUUCAUGAGUUUUAGCUGCUUUUUAUAUGCAUCAUGACAUGUUAUAUGAUGACUUUAUUGCAUGAUGUUGCCUACUGAGCUGUUAGCUCACUCCUACUAUUUACAUUUUUGCAGGUAAUGACAUGUGAUUAUAGGGAUUACGGGAUGGAGUGAUCAUGAUGUAUUUAGCUAGUAAAUAUUGACUUUUCUUUUGACAUAUGUAUAUGUGGACAUUUGAUAUGAAAAUUGAAAUUUAUUUUUAUUUAGUUAUUGAUGGUUGAUCUGAUUUAUCUGCCUUGUGUGCCUGCGGGGUUCGCCCUACAGGUGCGCGGCAUCUGCUCGCGUCCUAGGCCCUGGGUUCGGAGCGUGACAGAGACCUUAGGAUAUGUGGUGGAGGGCUCUACCCCCUUCUGUAGCCUACUGCAUAAUGCAUACAGUUCUCUUCUAUCAAAAGUUUUUUCUUAUUUUCAUAAACAAAAAAAUGGCACCACAGGUUUUUUUUUAUUUGUUAUCAUAUUUGAUUCCCAGCAUUAUAACCAGCAUUUUGGAUUUCACCAUCAAAAUAUGCUGUCGUAUCAGUAGAACAAUUACUCUCUGACAUUUACCAGUAAAUCCUUUUCUUAAAUUUAAUACUUCCACCAGUAAAUCAUCCGGUUUCU
This 914-nucleotide long non-coding RNA is filed under the name Phoenix dactylifera (date palm). Its description in RNAcentral is "long non-coding RNA (PDAC_LNC017092)". Lineage: Eukaryota; Viridiplantae; Streptophyta; Magnoliopsida; Arecales; Arecaceae. The record is from RNAcentral.